GACGAACGCUGGCGGCGUGCCUAAUACAUGCAAGUCGAACGAACUCUGGUAUUGAUUGGUGCUUGCAUCAUGAUUUACAUUUGAGUGAGUGGCGAACUGGUGAGUAACACGUGGGAAACCUGCCCAGAAGCGGGGGAUAACACCUGGAAACAGAUGCUAAUACCGCAUAACAACUUGGACCGCAUGGUCCGAGCUUGAAAGAUGGCUUCGGCUAUCACUUUUGGAUGGUCCCGCGGCGUAUUAGCUAGAUGGUGGGGUAACGGCUCACCAUGGCAAUGAUACGUAGCCGACCUGAGAGGGUAAUCGGCCACAUUGGGACUGAGACACGGCCCAAACUCCUACGGGAGGCAGCAGUAGGGAAUCUUCCACAAUGGACGAAAGUCUGAUGGAGCAACGCCGCGUGAGUGAAGAAGGGUUUCGGCUCGUAAAACUCUGUUGUUAAAGAAGAACAUAUCUGAGAGUAACUGUUCAGGUAUUGACGGUAUUUAACCAGAAAGCCACGGCUAACUACGUGCCAGCAGCCGCGGUAAUACGUAGGUGGCAAGCGUUGUCCGGAUUUAUUGGGCGUAAAGCGAGCGCAGGCGGUUUUUUAAGUCUGAUGUGAAAGCCUUCGGCUCAACCGAAGAAGUGCAUCGGAAACUGGGAAACUUGAGUGCAGAAGAGGACAGUGGAACUCCAUGUGUAGCGGUGAAAUGCGUAGAUAUAUGGAAGAACACCAGUGGCGAAGGCGGCUGUCUGGUCUGUAACUGACGCUGAGGCUCGAAAGUAUGGGUAGCAAACAGGAUUAGAUACCCUGGUAGUCCAUACCGUAAACGAUGAAUGCUAAGUGUUGGAGGGUUUCCGCCCUUCAGUGCUGCAGCUAACGCAUUAAGCAUUCCGCCUGGGGAGUACGGCCGCAAGGCUGAAACUCAAAGGAAUUGACGGGGGCCCGCACAAGCGGUGGAGCAUGUGGUUUAAUUCGAAGCUACGCGAAGAACCUUACCAGGUCUUGACAUACUAUGCAAAUCUAAGAGAUUAGACGUUCCCUUCGGGGACAUGGAUACAGGUGGUGCAUGGUUGUCGUCAGCUCGUGUCGUGAGAUGUUGGGUUAAGUCCCGCAACGAGCGCAACCCUUAUUAUCAGUUGCCAGCAUUAAGUUGGGCACUCUGGUGAGACUGCCAGUGACAAACCGGAGGAAGGUGGGGAUGACGUCAAAUCAUCAUGCCCCUUAUGACCUGGGCUACACACGUGCUACAAUGGAUGGUACAACGAGUUGCGAACUCGCGAGAGUAAGCUAAUCUCUUAAAGCCAUUCUCAGUUCGGAUUGUAGGCUGCAACUCGUCUACAUGAAGUCGGAAUCGCUAGUAAUCGCGGAUCAGCAUGCCGCGGUGAAUACGUUCCCGGGCCU
Molecule: ribosomal RNA, 1387 nt
Filed under: uncultured bacterium
Lineage: Bacteria
Description: bacterial SSU rRNA
Rfam family: Bacterial small subunit ribosomal RNA
Source: RNAcentral